RNAcentral lists this long non-coding RNA (214 nucleotides) under Lathyrus oleraceus (garden pea). RNAcentral's name for it is "Pisum sativum (pea) long non-coding RNA (PSAT_LNC009384)". The record is from RNAcentral. Lineage: Eukaryota; Viridiplantae; Streptophyta; Magnoliopsida; Fabales; Fabaceae.
GAAAAAUAAUUAAAAAGCAGAAAAAAUACGGAGCAUUGGAUCACACCUCAUUAAUUGACGUGACAGAUCCAACACUCCUCAAAUUAGGGUGCACAAUGGUAUGCAAAACAAACAACACACGAGAUCCAGUUUAAAAUAAACCAAUGAAAACAUUUCAUUUGCCCAACGUGUCUGGCCAAACUCAAACGACCUGGAUCACUCUGGUCAUUUUCUC